This is a long non-coding RNA of Ostrinia furnacalis (Asian corn borer), 716 nucleotides long. RefSeq lists it as uncharacterized. NCBI's taxonomy places the organism in Eukaryota, Metazoa, Arthropoda, Insecta, Lepidoptera, Crambidae. The transcript has 2 exons. The record is from RefSeq and is a predicted model, not a curated record.
UCACAUGAAACAAAAGAUUAUGAGAUAGACAUAGAUGGAACAUACAAAACAAGCACACCAGUAAAUGUUUUAUUUUCGGUAUGCAAUACCGAGGUGGAACCUUUUAGAUCUGUGUCAUCCCCUCACGUUUAGUGAAAUACCGGGGUGGUUGGAACUUGAUUUGGUCCAUCCUGUCAUCAACUGUUUUUCAAUGGGACGACUUCUGAACAUCAGAGAGAUCUUGACUGUCAAGAUACGUGAAUUAGGCCACUGAACUUUUCAAAACAAAACCAACACAGGUGAAAUAUCUGAGCAUCUCCCUUGACAAUAAAUUGUACUGGGCAAGUCAUAUCGACAACAUGCAUAGUGCCUAGCAAACAUAGCGGCCAUGGGUUGUAUGAGAACCACUCUAUCGGCAUCACUUGACUUCUUUCUGAAUCUCAGACAUUUAGACCUCAUUAUUCAGGAGGAAGCACAAGCACCCACUCUAAGACUUAAAGGAAACGAUCUAUGAAAGCAAAACAAGGAGACAGGAUAUUCCGCGAUUCUGCACAAAACCCUAAAAGAAAUACCCCUCAUCAACAGGAUAGGUACCCUGUGUACACAUCUUCGACCAAAGAUAAUAUCCAGCUUACAGCGGAAACGCGAAAUUGCUCUGGAAUCAAUGAAGUUAGGAUAUACCGACGUCUUCAAAACUGAAAUAAGUACUAGGAGGUCUUCUCGAAUGACCUAAACAU